GCUGCUGUAGCUCAGCAGGCAGAGCACCACCAUGGUAAGGUGGGGGUCGGCGGUUCGAGCCCGCCCAGCAGCUCCA
This 76-nucleotide transfer RNA is filed under the name Candidatus Crickella equi. RNAcentral's name for it is "tRNA-Thr". It matches the Rfam family "tRNA". From Rfam's summary of the family: Transfer RNA (tRNA) molecules are approximately 80 nucleotides in length. Their secondary structure includes four short double-helical elements and three loops (D, anti-codon, and T loops). The record is from RNAcentral. Lineage: Bacteria; Bacillati; Bacillota; Clostridia; Peptostreptococcales; Anaerovoracaceae.